RNA transcript from Oncorhynchus keta (chum salmon), 1414 nucleotides. It is a transcript of the gene named transforming protein RhoA-like, with no coding region annotated. The transcript has 5 exons. NCBI's taxonomy places the organism in Eukaryota, Metazoa, Chordata, Actinopteri, Salmoniformes, Salmonidae. The record is from RefSeq and is a predicted model, not a curated record.
CCCUGACUGUACACAGACUUUGCUGUCCGGGUCAUCAAAGAUUUUUCAGUUACCACCCAUCCUACGCAGUCCGAGUCAAGCACCUCCUCCUCGCGGUCUGUUUCAGAGCGCCCCCUCAAACACGGCUGGGAGCUACUAGCCUAACACAAGCUAACUAGUCAAGCGUGAGACCGAGACAUUAUCAAGAAAACAUCAAACUAGCUAGCUACCUAUUGGCCAGUCAUGGCAGCAAUCCGAAAGAAACUGGUCAUAGUGGGAGACGGAGCGUGCGGGAAGACCUGUCUGCUCAUCGUAUUCAGUAAAGACCAGUUCCCAGAGGUCUACGUGCCCACUGUCUUCGAGAACUAUGUCGCUGACAUUGAGGUCGACAGCAAACAGGUUGAGUUGGCACUAUGGGAUACAGCAGGCCAGGAGGACUAUGAUAGGCUCCGUCCCCUCUCUUACCCAGAUACUGAUGUCAUCCUCAUGUGCUUCUCCAUUGAUAGCCCCGACAGUUUGGAAAACAUCCCGGAGAAGUGGACUCCAGAAGUCAAACACUUCUGCCCUAACGUUCCCAUUAUCCUAGUGGGCAACAAAAGGACCUGCGUAACGACGAGCACACCCGCAGAGAGCUAGCCAAGAUGAAGCAGGAGCCUGUGAAGCCAGAGGAGGGGCGUGACAUGGCGAACCGGAUCAGUGCCUUCGGCUACAUGGAGUGCUCCGCAAAGAGCAAGGAUGGGGUGAGGGAAGUGUUUGAGAUGGCCACGAGGGCGGCGCUACAGGCCCGGCGGGGGAAGCAGAGACAUAAAUGCCUCCUACUGUAAAAGGAGGGAAGGCGUGAGGGACACGGCCUCCCACUGGGUACAAGGGGAAAGAUGGAAGAUAAGAAAUUAGGUCUAUUCCCCCCUUCGCUCCAAAAAAGACUGUGCUCACCAGUUUUUACUAAAGGUGUAAUGCUUUUAAUUUUCUGUCUUAAAGCAAAACAAGUUAAAUAGUCAUGGUUUUGUCAGUAUUCAAUGUUGAUGAUGGGGGUUAUGGAAAUGCUUUUUGUACUUGUACAUGAGUGAAUCUGCCAUAUCAACAUUUCCCUUGUGAACCUGUACGGCCAUGUAACUGAUGUAGUCAGCCAGAGGUGUGUGUAAUCAUUAGUCCAAAACGUUUUGCAAUGGAAACUUAAUUUCUAAUGGACAAAUUCAGGUCGGUCCCUCCCUGUUUUUGAUCUGUUUGGUUCUUAGUGAAUACACCCCAGGGGAUCUAUUGUUGUCAUACCUGCCAAUUAAGUGCUUGAGCCCUGCCCACUGAACUGAGGAUCAUUUCCACAGCCAAUCAGGGAGGGGUACCUAUACACUGUGACCCAUAGUCUUUAUGAUUCUUUUGUAAUUUUUGAUUUAUGCACAGGCAUAAAAUUGUUGAAAUAAAUGUGCUUCAUAUAAAA